Molecule: ribosomal RNA, 251 nt
Filed under: uncultured bacterium
Lineage: Bacteria
Description: partial 16S ribosomal RNA
Rfam family: Bacterial small subunit ribosomal RNA
Source: RNAcentral
UACGAAGGGGGCUAGCGUUGCUCGGAAUUACUGGGCGUAAAGCGCACGUAGGCGGGCUUGUUAAACGUCAGGGGUGAAAUCCUGGAGCUCAACGUCCAGAACUGCCUUUGAUAACUGGCGAGCUUGAGUUCGGGAGAGGUGAGUGGAACUGCGAGUGUAGAGGUGAAAUUCGUAGAUAUUCGCAAGAACACCAGUGGCGAAGGCGGCUCACUGGCCCGAGUACUGAACGCUGAGGUGGCGAAAGCGUGGGG